GGGUGGAGUGUGGACAAGCGGCCUUUGCAUCCUUCGCCGCUGGUUGGAAAUGCAGUUUUGGACCCCCUCCUCCCCCGCCAGGGCUCCCACCCAACCGGAAUCUGCAUUUUAACCGGACACCCAGGCGAUUCCUGUGCACAUUAAGUGUGAGACGACCUGGAAAGAAAAUGAAGUGGUUGAAAACAAAGUUAGAGCUGAAGAGUUAAGUUUCUGGUGCCUGCGUUGGAGAGUUUUGCUGAUUGAUCCUGUCAUUUUUAAACAAUAUAUGCUACCAAAAAAGAAAGUCUUCUAAGCCCCAGGGUCCAGUGCUGAUAAAGAGACUGAGCCUCAGAGACCCUAAAUGAUGCUUCAAGGCCCCAAGGUGAGAGGCCACGUGGCAAAUGCAAAGUGCCUAGAGUGUAAAGUAGCAGAAGGCUGCCUUAAAACCCCAGCUUCCCCACGUACACUGUGAGCCUGGCCAAGUUCCCUGAGAUCUCUGAACCUCAGUUCCUCGUUCGUUACAUGACGGAAAUCGUGUUGACCUCAUAGGGUUUACUGUGAGAAUUGAAUGAGAGACGGGGUUUCACUACGUUGCCCAGGUUGGUCUGGAACUCCAGGACUCACUCAAUCUUCUAGCCUCGGCCUCCCAAGGUGCUGGGAUUACAGGCGUGAGCCACCGUGCCUACUCGAAUGAGGUAAUUCUUGACAAAAUAAAUGUGUGGCUAGUACAUCUUAACAUGCUUUUCUUGCUGUACUUGUCUCUGUAGCAAGUGCUGGCUGUGCAUUAGCUUUCUUGUCCCCUUCACCCCUUUGGUAGUGGAGCCUGGAGAGAAUUUACUUGGGAACUCAAGUGUGCCAGCAAAGGAGACACAAUUGAUGAGGGUACUAAGCACACUGUUUGGGUGAUGAUGUUUUUCAAAACAAUAUCAUUAGAUCUUCACAUACAGAGCUGGGAGAUAACAUAGUCCCUAUGACAGAUGUUAGACUAGGACCCCAAAUGACCUCGUAUGGUGUGCCAGUGUCUUCUUCAUUUGCUCCAAGGACACAGCAUGAAUAGAAUAGGCUUUGCCAUCAGCAAGGGCCCUCUCCUAGUUUUUCCCUAGCAUUUCAGAUGCUUGGCACCUGUAACCGGAUUUUCCCUGCACUGAGAGUCAGUGUGUCUUGAUGAAAUGAGCACUGGUUUGGAGUCAGAAGACCUGGGCUGGUAUCAUGCCCCUGCAGCUUAGUUGACAUGUGUUUGGAUGAGUCACUUCUCUGAACAUAUCUUUAUCAUCUAUAAAAUAGGCAUCCUAAUAAUAUUUCCUAAACACUUAUUCUGACAAGGUUUUAUGAGGACCAGAAGAAAUAAGGAAAGGCAAAGCUUUGUAAAUCGGAGAUGCCUCACCAGCACUAUCAUUCCUGUGACUUCCGAUCACCAAGGAGAAGGGACCAGCUUUUAGCACACAGAGCCUGGGAUGGUAGAAUGCCAGACAUUUCACAGUCCAUUGGGGGUGAUCUAUGGCAGAUGGUGUUCCUAGCACCUUUUUCAAAUUGG
RNAcentral lists this long non-coding RNA (1513 nucleotides) under Homo sapiens (human). RNAcentral describes it as "HSALNT0134322". The record is from RNAcentral. Lineage: Eukaryota; Metazoa; Chordata; Mammalia; Primates; Hominidae.